GUGUCAGCCGCCGCGGUAAUACGGAGGAUCCAAGCGUUAUCCGGAUUUAUUGGGUUUAAAGGGUGCGUAGGCGGACCCGUAAGUCAGUGGUGAAAGUUUGCAGCUCAACUGUAAAAUUGCCAUUGAAACUACGGAUCUUGAGUGUAAAUGAGGUAGGCGGAAUGUGUUGUGUAGCGGUGAAAUGCUUAGAUAUAACACAGAACACCAAUUGCGAAGGCAGCUUACUAGGAUACAACUGACGCUGAGGCACGAAAGCGUGGGGAUCAAACAGGAUUAGAAACCCCCGUAGUCC
RNAcentral lists this ribosomal RNA (292 nucleotides) under uncultured bacterium. RNAcentral's name for it is "partial 16S ribosomal RNA". It matches the Rfam family "Bacterial small subunit ribosomal RNA", at positions 505 to 796 of the family's 1533-position model. The record is from RNAcentral.